This 1101-nucleotide long non-coding RNA is filed under the name Coturnix japonica (Japanese quail). RNAcentral describes it as "lncRNA (ENSCJPG00005007628.1)". The record is from RNAcentral. Lineage: Eukaryota; Metazoa; Chordata; Aves; Galliformes; Phasianidae.
AUGCAGAAGGAGUUAGAAGAGCGGAGGGAGUUAGGAGAGCAGGGGGAGUCAGGAGAGCAGGGGGAGUCAGAAGAGCAGGGGGAGUCAGAGGAGCAGAAGAUGAUAGAGGAGCAGAAGAUGAUAGAGGAGCAGAAGAAGUUAGAGGAGCAGAGGAAGUUAGGAGAGAGGAAAAAGAAGGAGGGUUACCUGGAGGAAAUAAUACAAGAGUCAGAGUCAGAAGAAGAGGAGCCAAAAGUUAGAUUUUCUUUACGAGAAUUUCUCGAGUCCAAACUUAUAGAUGGGGCAGCCUCAUCAACACAGUUGCCACCAUCAACACCUGGGACUCUUGAUAGAGCAAAAGGUGAGCAAAGUAUUACGACCAUUAUUGAUAGAUCUUUAAAACUGAGUGAAAUUCGGGAUCUAAGAAAGGAUUACACACGUCAACCAAAAGAACAUAUGGUCACUUGGUUACUUCGAUGCUGGGACAAUGGUGCCAGCAGUGUGUGGCUUGAUGGCAAUGAAGCUCGCCAACUGGGUAGCAUUUCCAGGGACUCACGUGUGGACAGAGGUAUUGGCACAUGCCAAGAUCAGUCCUACACCCUCUGGAAGCGGAUGUUGAUAGCGGUAAGAGAUAGAUUCCCCUUUAAACGGGACUUGGAGCCUGAGAGAAAGAAAUGGACUGAUAUUGAGAAAGGUAUCCAAUUUUUGAGAGAAAAUGCUCUGGUGGAAAUGCUAUACAGCUCCCACUUCAACCGCAAUGACCCGAACCAAUUACAUGAUCCUGAGAUAGUCCGUGUACCACGACAAAUGUGGCGUGACUUUACAAGGGCUGCUCUUGCAUUAGUAUAUGGCAAAGGGGAAAGGAAACCCCUUGUGAAUGAACUAAUUGGCAGACUUCAGGAACUUGAAUUAUUUAUAAGCGCUACAGAAGUUAAUCUGUAUACUUCAGCCAUUGUCAAAAUAGUGGAAAGGUUAAACAAAAUGGAGGGAACACAAAAUGAUAUUAUUGACAUGUUGACUAACAUGCCUGAUGUAGAUGGAUCCAUGGUGGUACCAGAUGAUGGGGACCAGGAUUCCCACGAUCGCCUAUUGAGAAAGCUAAAAAGUGUGAGUUCCUCCUGA